RNAcentral lists this transfer RNA (74 nucleotides) under Dokdonia donghaensis DSW-1. It matches the Rfam family "tRNA". Rfam says of the family: Transfer RNA (tRNA) molecules are approximately 80 nucleotides in length. Their secondary structure includes four short double-helical elements and three loops (D, anti-codon, and T loops). Lineage: Bacteria; Pseudomonadati; Bacteroidota; Flavobacteriia; Flavobacteriales; Flavobacteriaceae. The record is from Rfam by way of RNAcentral.
GGCUGCGUAGUUCAACUGGAUAGAAUAUCAGAUUUCGGCUCUGAGUGUUGGAGGCUCGCAUCCUCUCGCGGUCA